GUAAGGAAUAUUGGUCAAUGGACGGAAGUCUGAACCAGCCAUGCCGCGUGCAGGAAGACGGCCCUAUGGGUUGUAAACUGCUUUUGCAGGGGAAUAAACCCCGAUACGUGUAUCGGGUUGAAUGUACUCUGAGAAUAAGGAUCGGCUAACUCCGUGCCAGCAGCCGCGGUAAUACGGAGGAUCCGAGCGUUAUCCGGAUUUAUUGGGUUUAAAGGGUGCGUAGGUGGCCUGUUAAGUCAGGGGUGAAAGACGGUAGCUUAACUAUCGCAGUGCCCUUGAUACUGAUGGGCUUGAAUGAACUAGAGGUAGGCGGAAUGUGACAAGUAGCGGUGAAAUGCAUAGAUAUGUCACAGAACACCAAUUGCGAAGGCAGCUUACUAUGGUUUUAUUGACACUGAGGCACGAAAGCGUGGGGAUCAAACAGG
This 425-nucleotide ribosomal RNA is filed under the name uncultured Mucilaginibacter sp. RNAcentral's name for it is "bacterial SSU rRNA". It matches the Rfam family "Bacterial small subunit ribosomal RNA", at positions 354 to 776 of the family's 1533-position model. The record is from RNAcentral. Lineage: Bacteria; Pseudomonadati; Bacteroidota; Sphingobacteriia; Sphingobacteriales; Sphingobacteriaceae.